RNAcentral lists this ribosomal RNA (251 nucleotides) under uncultured bacterium. RNAcentral's name for it is "partial 16S ribosomal RNA". It matches the Rfam family "Bacterial small subunit ribosomal RNA", at positions 82 to 334 of the family's 1533-position model. The record is from RNAcentral.
CCAAAGCUGGCGACCGGCGCACGGGUGAGUAACACGUAUCCAACCUGCCUCAUACUCGGGGAUAGCCUUUCGAAAGAAAGAUUAAUAUCCGAUAGCAUAUAUUUCCCGCAUGGGCUUUAUAUUAAAGAAAUUCGGUAUGAGAUGGGGAUGCGUUCCAUUAGUUUGUUGGGGGGGUAACGGCCCACCAAGACUACGAUGGAUAGGGGUUCUGAGAGGAAGGUCCCCCACAUUGGAACUGAGACACGGUCCAA